Molecule: ribosomal RNA, 252 nt
Filed under: uncultured bacterium
Lineage: Bacteria
Description: partial 16S ribosomal RNA
Rfam family: Bacterial small subunit ribosomal RNA
Source: RNAcentral
UACGUAGGGACCGAGCGUUGUCCGGAUUCAUUGGGCGUAAAGGGUGCGUAGGUGGCGCCGUAAGUCAGGUGUGAAAUUUCGGAGCUUAACUCCGAAACUGCAUUUGAUACUGCGGUGCUUGAGGACUGGAGAGGAGACUGGAAUUUACGGUGUAGCAGUGAAAUGCGUAGAGAUCGUAAGGAAGACCAGUGGCGAAGGCGGGUCUCUGGACAGUUCCUGACACUGAGGCACGAAGGCCAGGGAGCAAACGGG